This is a non-coding RNA of Podarcis lilfordi (Lilford's wall lizard), 81 nucleotides long. NCBI's taxonomy places the organism in Eukaryota, Metazoa, Chordata, Lepidosauria, Squamata, Lacertidae. The record is from the annotation of a GenBank genome assembly.
ACUUAAGUAUGAUCAAAUAGCAGUUGGUAGAGCAUGAGACUCUUAAUCUCAGGGUUGUGGGUUCAAGCCUCACAUUGGGUG